This 573-nucleotide ribosomal RNA is filed under the name Enterobacterales bacterium. Its description in RNAcentral is "bacterial SSU rRNA". It matches the Rfam family "Bacterial small subunit ribosomal RNA", at positions 828 to 1402 of the family's 1533-position model. Lineage: Bacteria; Pseudomonadati; Pseudomonadota; Gammaproteobacteria; Enterobacterales. The record is from RNAcentral.
GCCUUGAGGCGUGGCUUCCGGAGCUAACGCGUUAAAUCGACCGCCUGGGGAGUACGGCCGCAAGGUUAAAACUCAAAUGAAUUGACGGGGGCCCGCACAAGCGGUGGAGCAUGUGGUUUAAUUCGAUGCAACGCGAAGAACCUUACCUACUCUUGACAUCCAGAGAACUUUCCAGAGAUGCAUUGGUGCCUUCGGGAACUCUGAGACAGGUGCUGCAUGGCUGUCGUCAGCUCGUGUUGUGAAAUGUUGGGUUAAGUCCCGCAACGAGCGCAACCCUUAUCCUUUGUUGCCAGCGGUUCGGCCGGGAACUCAAAGGAGACUGCCAGUGAUAAACUGGAGGAAGGUGGGGAUGACGUCAAGUCAUCAUGGCCCUUACGAGUAGGGCUACACACGUGCUACAAUGGCAUAUACAAAGAGAAGCGACCUCGCGAGAGCAAGCGGACCUCAUAAAGUAUGUCGUAGUCCGGAUUGGAGUCUGCAACUCGACUCCAUGAAGUCGGAAUCGCUAGUAAUCGUAGAUCAGAAUGCUACGGUGAAUACGUUCCCGGGCCUUGCACUCCCCGCCCGUCAAAA